UGGUCCUUGUGGUUUCACUAAAUUUUGUGUGAGCUUUCGGAGAAUAAAUGCAGUAGAUUCUCAUCCAUAUUGGGCAGCUGUAAAAAAGUACUAUAAAUGUCUGUGCACCGGCCCAGCCUGAAGUUUGUGCUUAGAAUGACUUAUGUAGAAAGAAGCUGAAGGAGCAAGUUUUUAUACCAUGAAGACAUACGUGAAGUAGUUUUACAGGUUAACCACGAAAUACCAGAGGCUUCCAGAAAGAAGCUGGAAAAGCUAAGAAAAUGGAUUCUUCCCCAGGUCCACAGUACCUCCCAGUGCUGCCACCCUGGAGAUAACACCUUUACCUGCAGACUUUUGGAUGCCACUCGUAGUCUAAACUAGCACCAAGCCCGUGUGAGCAGCCUUCGGAGAAGCCGCGCCCUAUGCUGCACGAUUCUUGUAAGCAUGAUGAACACAUAUAUGGAGAAGACGUAGAAAAUUUUGAGAGCCCACAAACUCCAGGAAAGUCAUCACCGUUGAUCAUCUGGGCCUUUUGUAUUUCCCUAUCUCUGUCUGUAAUCAGUGUGCUGACUCCUUAAUGGAUGGUAACGGGAUCUUGUUGUGUGGAUAUCUUAAACUUUCACAUUUUUGAUGGAUGAUUUUACUUAUUGCUGUUAUGUGAAAUAAUUGUAACAGUUUAUUAUAUUUUUAUCUUAUCAUUGGCCAUGCAGGCUAUAGGUAGACUCUAAAUCAAAACCAGAAAGAAACACAGGCCACAUUACUUGUAGUAUCAUUAGCAAUGCCCAGCUCCUUUUCACUGGUUUGUUAUUUUCUAAGAUUCAAAUAUCAUGGAUCAAUUUUUGCCAUUUUCUAGACAUAAGUGCAUGAGUAUCUACUGGCAAAUUUUCCCCUUGUCCUUCAAGAGUAGGGCCUGCAGGUGUUCCCUUUUCCGUUAUGUGUCAGUUAUUUGCCUAUGUUUGACUCUACUAUUCAUAAAAUAUCUACAGAAUGUUUAACCCAUAUUUUAAUGAGAAAUAAAUUUAUCAAAUAUUCUAUGUGGUGCCAUUCUUGUUGUCUUUAGCUUUAUAUUAUCUGGUCAAAUCACUGUUCUCCAAAAUUAUGUAGAGCACUCCUCCCCUCACUAUAUUUUGUGCACUUGUUUUAUUUGUUUC
Chinchilla lanigera (long-tailed chinchilla) is the source of this 1130-nucleotide long non-coding RNA. RefSeq lists it as uncharacterized. The record is from RefSeq and is a predicted model, not a curated record. The transcript has 5 exons. NCBI's taxonomy places the organism in Eukaryota, Metazoa, Chordata, Mammalia, Rodentia, Chinchillidae.